Heterocephalus glaber (naked mole-rat) is the source of this 3194-nucleotide non-coding RNA. The record is from RefSeq and is a predicted model, not a curated record. Lineage: Eukaryota; Metazoa; Chordata; Mammalia; Rodentia; Bathyergidae.
AGAAAACAGACAUUUACUGGGAGUGGCGAGAUCACACAGACUGAAGAGAUAAGCAGGAGGGAGACUGAAAACCGAGCAAGGUCAGGCAGAGACAGAGGGAAGGAUGAGGAGCCUGCAUCAGCUCCAGGGAUUCUUUUUUUUUUUUUUUGGUACCAGGAAUUGAACUCGGGAUCGUCUGCUUGCAAAGCAAGCAGUGGAACCACUCAGCUAAAUCCCCGGCAAGCCCCAGGCAUUCUUUCAGGAAGGAAAACAGGCCAUGAGCUUUGUUGUGUCUGCCCAGAUGCUGUCCAGCUUUAUUUGCAGUGCUGGGGUUUGAACCCAUGGCCUCGUAUGCACUAGGUAAACAGUCCACCACUGAACCACAGCCCCAGCCUGAUUUAGCCCUCAUAAAGUCAUUCUGGACCCAGCCUCGCCGUGUGGCUCAAACAUGCCUCUCUUUGAUAACAGAGAGAAGGGAUCUACCUGCCAGAAGUGGCGUGGCUGAGGAAGGGGGUCCCCGUAAGACAACUCCAUCCACUCGGCUCCACCGAGUGCCCCUCAAUCCCACUUCUGCUUUGCGAGCUGACCCACUGAGUGGAGAUGGCUAGAAAGCCAGGGAUGAGGGAUCAAGACUUCCAGGGAAGCCACAGGGCACGAGCCUAAGACAGAGGUAAGUAUACACUCCAGCUGUGCAGCUACGGGACCUGCCACUGUUCUCUGCUCUACUGCCACGGAGCAGAUGAGUAAAGACCGUAAGAUGCAGAUUUGGAGAAGAUACCAUGUUUCUUCUAGCAACAACAAAAAGAGAUGAUCAGAGAAAUAAAAAUUGAACAAGAAAGACAUGCACUGUGUACAGAACUAAUGGAGAUGUGGUAUGGUUUUGAGCAAUUGUUGAAUCUGGAAAACCCUUCUGAAUGGAUCUCUGAAUGGGUUGAGGGACAAAGCACUGGACUACUGGAGAGGGAUUUAUCCUGGCAGGAAACACGAGACAAGGAGUCCAGACAAUAUAUACUGUGAGUUGUUCUUAUGAAUUCUUUUUCUGGUGCUGGGGAUGGAACCCAGAGCCUUGUGCAUGCCAGGCAAGCACUCUACUGCUGAGUUGUUGGUAACUGGGCUUUCACCUCCAGAAUCAACCCAUGGGCAAGGAGGACUCAGCUUUGCAGACUGCAGUGUAAAUGUCAUCCAAACUGAUAAUCCAGAGCUGGAAGUGGAGCUGACCUCAGUGGGAAAGGGGGACAAGUGACAGAUUUAACAGCCUCCCCUUACAAAGGAGGAAGCCACAAGAUGCCGAACCAGAAAUAAGUACCUAAGCAGGCAACUGUUUCCCUGCCUCCAAAGGGAGAGGAGCGGAGCCUCCAGAGGUGCUGAGCCAACAGAACAGAGGCUGUUAAAUUUUUCGGAAUUUUGUGAAACUGAACUAAAACAAACUGAAUUACAACCUCCAGUUAAACGAACUACAGUACAAAUAAAGAUACCACAGCUCACUGCCUUUCUUUUUUUUUUGCGGUACUGGGAAUUGAAUUCAGGACCUGGCGCUUGCCAGGCAGGCAUGGCGCCACUGAGCUACAUCCCCAGCCCUAACUCACUGCUUCUUAAUGUGACACGUCGCUAUGAUCAAUGAGGUUGCCUGUAUCUACCAGGAGCACCUGCAGGCAUGCAGGAUGCAGACACACAGAGGCCCUAACACACAGCUUAUCCCAACCCUGUGUUCAAGCUCCACAUCCACGGAUGUCUUGGUCAGCCUGGAAUCAGCCACACUGGGAGCAUUUAUAUCCCAGAAAAUGGCAACAGCAGGGCCUUCAUCCCAGCCCCUUGGUACUGAACACUGAGUCCAGCGAGCACUGAGCUACAUCACCAGCCCUUUUGUAAAUUCUGAGACAGGGUCUAAGUUGCUCGGGAUGGCCACACACUUUUGAUCCUCCUGCCUCAGCCUCCCAAGGAGCUGGGAUUACAAGUGUGUGCACCACUGCAUCACCCUGCCCAGCCAAAGCAGGACCUCUUACGUCCACACAGAGGAGGCUGCUGGAGCACUGACCGGCAUACUGGGAUGGGGCUUCCCAUUAGAGAUCCAAUUUUAUCGGACAUGGUAUGCAUUCCUUAUCUGAAACAACUGGAACCAGAAGUGUUUCCAGUUUUCUAUUUCUUUAGAUUUUGGAAUAUCUGCAGACUUUACUGGUUAAGAAUCUUUCAGCCUUUACCAGUUGAGUACAACUUAUUAGCACACUGGUCCUGAAGGUUUUAGAUUUUAGAUUUUUACAUUAGGGAUGUCCAACUGAUCCUUAUAUAUACAUACUGUAUUUUAAAACAUGAGCAUAUAAUACUUAGAAAAAAAUUCUAAUUUUGCAAAUGAGAGCAGAUAAACGCGAACAAGAAAGCAACAAGCCAAGCUGGGCCGUGAGCCUAGGGAUGCGUCUCCAAGAGGCAAAGCAGUGCAGGCGGCAGGCGUCUUACCAAAGGCUUUGGCCACGGAUAUGCUCUCCAGCAGCCCCAUCAGGGGCACCACAGCCAGCCCUGCUCCCAUGUCCUGAGAGAGGAGACAGGGGAGUCGAUGCUGAAUGAAAGCUCAGACUUCGGGGAGCAACUCUACAGGAUCAAACCCAGGCUGGAAGGGACAUCGUCACCCGACCCCAGCGUCCCUUCCCUACCAAGCUCCUUGCAUUCACCCACUGCCUUGAGGCUGCAGAACAGAACCUGGUGGUGACCACAGUGAGUUGGGGACCAGCCUCGGCUGAUGGAAAUGACCCAAGUGCUAACCCCAACCACUCCUCUCUCUCGCUGUUGUUGAUUUCCUGCCUGCGCCCCCGCCAACAGCGGGGCCACGCUCAGGUCGUUUUCGCUCCCAGUAAAGUUCAGAGAUGAUGCUGCCGUCCUGCUCUCCUAUUCGUGCCUUCCUCUGUGGGCGUCACCAACCAGCACCCAGCCUCCCCGGAGAUGGCCCUCAGCUCGCCGCAGCCUCUCCCCUGUACCUGCCAUGAACACGACCCGCAUACCCCACGCCUACAGCCAACCCUUCCCUCCCAGCAAGUGCACAGUUUGAACACCGCCUCCUAGCCCUGUGGAAUUUGCUUUCUCCCCCAGCAACCCUGUAGAUGGAGUUCUUCAAACCUGGGCGCUACCAAUGUGUGGGGUCAGCUGACUCCACUGCAGGAGGCUGAGGGCCGCAGGACACUCGGGCAUCCCUGGCCUCUACCCACUAGAUGCCAGCAACAGCCUCC